GCACCAUUCCCGUGGCCCGGCCACGCUUUGCUAUUCUUGCACUCACACAUUCCUCUCUUUAUUCUAGGAUUAAACAAGUGGAGAAGGCUAACGAGGCUCUGGGCAUUGACUCGUUGCUCGUUACCGAUGAGCUUUUCAGGCAUCAGGAUGUGGCAACGCGCAGCCGAUACGUGAGACUUGUGGAUAGUGUGAGGGAAAAUGGCGGAACAGUGAGGAUCUUCUCCAGCCUCCAUGUCUCCGGAGAGCAACUGAACCAGCUGACAGGUGUAGCUGCCAUAUUACGUUUCCCAGUGGCUGAUUUGUCAGAGGAUGAAUCCAGUUCAGACAACGACUAGUGCCCCCCCUUGUCUGUCUCUUGCAAUAACAACUGAACUCUGA
Bombina bombina (fire-bellied toad) is the source of this 378-nucleotide long non-coding RNA. RefSeq lists it as uncharacterized. The record is from RefSeq and is a predicted model, not a curated record. NCBI's taxonomy places the organism in Eukaryota, Metazoa, Chordata, Amphibia, Anura, Bombinatoridae. The transcript is spliced from 4 exons.